GCACGCAGCAGCCAGCAUGUGUGAUUGAGAUGCCGCCAGAAAAGGACUCUUCGUUGUCGGCCAACGUGCCGCCGACUCCAUCCGACGGCGAUUUAGCUGCGUGUACCGUGGAGGCCGACUUGGAUCUGCCAAAGGACUGCUUUCUGUUUCCGAAGCAGAACGACGCCUUCCAGAUCCCGUACUUUCUCUCGAGUUCCGAGGAGGUGGACAAGAUUCGGCCUCCCGCUGUCGUGAAGACGUGGGAGCAGCGCCACGGAGAGCUCGAGGAAGCACAGAAACGCAAGCUGGAUGACUUCAAGAAGAUGGUCGCCGCUGCGCCAUGGUAUGAGGAAGAGAAGUUCGACAAUUGGCUUUGUCUCCGUUACCUUAUCGCCCGCAGCUUCAACCUCAAUGAGGCGUUCUCCAUGCUGGAGAACACCGUCAAGUGGUGGAAGGAAACGGGGUCGGAGACGUGGCGGUGUGAUGCCUGCAUGGAGAACCCGAAUCACCACAUGGGCCAGUUCAUUGGGUGGGACAAGGAGCACCGCCCCGUCAUGUUCAUGUCGAUGCGUUGGGGCCCGGAGCGCAAGAGCCCGCUGCGGCACAUGGUGUGUUCCUUCAACCACUUGAUCCGCAUGAUGCCUGUCGGGGUCGAGAAGUGGGUCUGCCUGACGGACUUCGAAACGUACUCGCACCUGCACGACGGCAAGCCGUCCGUAGGCAUAGGCGUCAUCCGCGUGAUUCAGGACCACUACCCGGAGCGACUAGGCAAGAUGGUGUGCAUCAACCCGCCGAAGCUCUUCUCCAUGCUGUGGAAGCUCUUCCUUCCAGCGAUCGACCCCGUCACCCGCACGAAGGUGGAGUUUCUGUGGACAGAGGCGCAGCCGAGCGUGUGUGAGACAUUCCCGCGCCUGUUCCCGAAGCACCUCAGCCAGUACCUGAGCGACUCCUACGACCGGAGCAAGUACAACCUGCCCGCCACGCCGCUCGUGUGGCAUCCACGGCCCGAGGGCUACCCCAAGAACUUCGAGGAGCGCAAGCAUCAACUGAAGGCAAUGAAGGAGAGGGAGAAAGGCGACAAGAAGGACGCGAAGAAGGCCGCGCACGCUGCCAAAAAGCGGGACAAGGAGGAGCAGCGCCGUCAACGGCACGAGAAGACGCAGCCAUAGAAAGGUGUCUCAGAGGUUACCGUCGCGAACAGGAGCACCGUGGGCAAUCAGAGCGGGCCUGCGCCGCUCCCUCAGGCACCGGCAACGCUAGUUCGAGUUCUGCAGCUGUCGAAUCAGCCUCGGCGGUGUGAGGUGAGGCGUAGUCGCGGAGCGGGGGCCCACGGAAUAAGGUGCACGCGCUACUCAAGGGAAAUGCUUGCCAUGCGGUUUAGUCCUUCUGGGUCCCCUGCUGUCUCCCCCUCCCCCUCUCCUCUCCUGCUGUUGUGUGCCACAUAUCGGACCCCCCCUCCCUUUUUUUGUUCGCGUCUUUCUCCACCGGUUCUUCCCGAAUUAGAAACCGCAGCUGUGGCGAUGGACGAGGGGAGGAGGGUGAAUUUGGUGAGGGAGGCUGAUGGUUCCACAAUCCUCAAGCAGUCUCUGUGUGCGUCGUUCGCCCUCCCACACCACCUCCCCCCAACCACCGUCCUCUCCCUAUUUCUUGUUGUAAUGGCCUUGUGUUUUGCCUGCCUUGUUUCCUUCUCUCCCUUCCCCUACUCACCACUGUCCUCCAUGCGCGUUGUGUUGUAUUCCACGUCAAAAUGUCCGAGAUGUAUCAAUGCCUGCGACGGCGUGCAUGUGCGCGCCGCGUUUCCACGUACGCGGAGAGGCAGUAAAUGGAGUUGAUGUUGCUAAAUUAACUGGGCCGUCGGUAGCGCUCAUGUCUGUAUUUGUAGCCUCGUGUGGAGUCCCUCUGCUCGCCGCCGCUUUGCUUUCGCUGUUGCUGCUGUUUGCUUGCGAUGUGAUGGCCUCAUGGCAGAAAAGCUGAGAGGACGCCGACAAGGGGUGCUGCCGCCGUCGCUCAGCGGUGCGUUGAUCGACCGAGCGUGUGAAGCUAAGGCGUGUCUGCUUCUUUUUCCCCUCUCCGCGCUGCCGUUUUCCCACGAACAAACAGGCGCAUACCUAAACAGCCACACACGCAUGCUUGCCGCUAAGCUCCGCUUUUACCCUCCUCCCUUCCGAGUCGUUUCUUUCUUCGCUCCAGUCUCCUACAAUUCGUUCUCGACUUCUUUUCUUUCUCCUUGGUUCCUGCGUCGUGCCUCAUAAGUGGCCCCGCUGCUCUGCGCGCUCGCCUGCGCGUGUGUGCGUGCAGGUGCGGGAGAGAGAAUGUCCGGGAGAAGGGAACGGGUAGGCAGACAGACAAAGGGGACCAAAGGAAAGUGUCAAGGGCGGAUCAAGCGGAGAGGAGAGAAAACUAGGUACACAACAUUC
This 2396-nucleotide unclassified non-coding RNA is filed under the name Leishmania donovani. RNAcentral describes it as "gene:LdHU3.35.4730(CDS-product:CRAL/TRIO_N-inal_d omain/CRAL/TRIO_domain_containing_protein_putative)". Lineage: Eukaryota; Euglenozoa; Kinetoplastea; Trypanosomatida; Trypanosomatidae. The record is from RNAcentral.